GGUGAGGCCGGAAGUCGGAGGCUGGUCUGCUGCUCCGCCGCUUGGUCGCGCACCUUGCUCGUGCACUACCACGAAGUGGAGGCUGGUCUGCUGCUCCGGAGGAUGGCGGCGGCGAUCGACUUCCUCAGCUGCUCCAGGCGGUGGAGCGUUGGUGGUGGUAGCGGUGGGUGGCGGCGCCGGCGGUGGUGGAGGUGGCAGGGGGCGGCGCCGGGUGGGGGGAGGGAGAGUUAGGGUUUGAGGUGGGGGAAGGGAGAAAGGACGAUUGGGGGGGGUGAUUUUCAUUUUCUUUUCUUUUUUAUUUUUAUUUUUUUUCCACAUGUAUUUUUAAUUUCAAUUUUUUUCAGAUUUUUUUGCCACAUGUCACAAAUGAGCCAAGUGGAGAAUUUCGGCUACCACAGUGUGAAUUCCGGCUGCCACAGUGGCAUUUUCGGCGCUGGCAUAAGAAAAAAUCGGUGAUCGGAUAAAUUUCAGACAAAAACUAAAGGUUAGGUAUUUAAAAGAAGAAAAA
This 508-nucleotide long non-coding RNA is filed under the name Salvia miltiorrhiza (redroot sage). Its description in RNAcentral is "long non-coding RNA (SMIL_LNC013883)". Lineage: Eukaryota; Viridiplantae; Streptophyta; Magnoliopsida; Lamiales; Lamiaceae. The record is from RNAcentral.